RNAcentral lists this ribosomal RNA (484 nucleotides) under uncultured bacterium. RNAcentral describes it as "partial 16S ribosomal RNA". It matches the Rfam family "Bacterial small subunit ribosomal RNA", at positions 30 to 507 of the family's 1533-position model. The record is from RNAcentral.
AUUGAACGCUGGCGGCAGGCCUAACACAUGCAAGUCGAGCGGAUGAAGGGAGCUUGCUCCUGGAUUCAGCGGCGGACGGGUGAGUAAUGCCUAGGAAUCUGCCUGGUAGUGGGGGAUAACGUCCGGAAACGGGCGCUAAUACCGCAUACGUCCUGAGGGAGAAAGUGGGGGAUCUUCGGACCUCACGCUAUCAGAUGAGCCUAGGUCGGAUUAGCUAGUUGGUGGGGUAAAGGCCUACCAAGGCGACGAUCCGUAACUGGUCUGAGAGGAUGAUCAGUCACACUGGAAAUGAGAAACGGGCCAGACUCCUAAGGGAGGCAGCAGGGGGGAAUAUUGGACAAUGGGCGAAAGCCUGAUCCAGCCAUGCCGCGUGUGUGAAGAAGGUCUUAGGAUUGUAAAGCACUUUAAGUUGGGAGGAAGGGCAGUAAGUUAAUACCUUGCUGUUUUGACGUUACCAACAGAAUAAGCACCGGCUAACUUCGUG